RNAcentral lists this ribosomal RNA (388 nucleotides) under uncultured bacterium. RNAcentral describes it as "bacterial SSU rRNA". It matches the Rfam family "Bacterial small subunit ribosomal RNA", at positions 28 to 417 of the family's 1533-position model. The record is from RNAcentral.
GACGAACGCUGGCGGCGUGCUUAACACAUGCAAGUCGAGCGGUAAGGCCCUUUCGGGGGUACACGAGCGGCGAACGGGUGAGUAACACGCGGGUGACCUGCCCUCAGCUCUGGGAUAAGCCUGGGAAACCGGGUCUAAUACUGGAUAUGACUCCAUGACGCAUGUUGUGGGGUGGAAAGCCUUGUGCGGCUGAGGAUGGGCCCGCGGCCUAUCAGCUUGUUGGUGGGGUGANGGCCUACCAAGGCGACGACGGGUAGCCGGCCUGAGAGGGCGACCGGCCACACUGGGACUGAGACACGGCCCAGACUCCUACGGGAGGCAGCAGUGGGGAAUCUUGCGCAAUGGGCGAAAGCCUGACGCAGCGACGCCGCGUGAGGGAUGACGGCCU